RNAcentral lists this ribosomal RNA (494 nucleotides) under Ravinia sp. ESW-2015a. RNAcentral describes it as "partial 16S ribosomal RNA". It matches the Rfam family "Bacterial large subunit ribosomal RNA", at positions 1851 to 2601 of the family's 2925-position model. The record is from RNAcentral. Lineage: Eukaryota; Metazoa; Arthropoda; Insecta; Diptera; Sarcophagidae.
AGUCUAGCCUGCCCACUGAAUUAAUUUAAAUGGCCGCAGUAUACUAACUGUGCAAAGGUAGCAUAAUCAUUAGUCUUUUAAUUGAAGGCUGGUAUGAAUGGUUGGACGAGAUAUUAACUGUUUCAUAAAAAUUUAUAAUAGAAUUUUAUUUUUUAGUCAAAAAGCUAAAAUAAAAUUAAAAGACGAGAAGACCCUAUAAAUCUUUAUAUAUAAAUUAUUAGAAUUUUAUAGAUUUUUUUUAUUAUAAUAAUUGAUUAUAUUUUAUUGGGGUGAUAUUAAAAUUUAAAAAACUUUUAAUUAUUAAAAUCAUUAAUUUAUGAAUAAUUGAUCCGUUAAUAACGAUUAAAAAAAUAAGUUACUUUAGGGAUAACAGCGUAAUUUUUUUGGAGAGUUCAUAUCGAUAAAAAAGAUUGCGACCUCGAUGUUGGAUUAAGAUAUAAUUUUAGGUGUAGCCGCUUAAAUUUUAAGUCUGUUCGACUUUUAAAUUCUUACAU